Long non-coding RNA from Bos taurus (domestic cattle), 416 nucleotides. NCBI's taxonomy places the organism in Eukaryota, Metazoa, Chordata, Mammalia, Artiodactyla, Bovidae. The record is from Ensembl.
ACCUACAGCCUUAUUAAAGAGACAGACAUUGCAUGCUUGAGGAUUAUAUAACAACAAUGUAUCCUGCUUGAGGACACGUUUCUCCUUCUUGAGAACCUUCCGACUAAUCCUGUUAUCUUAAAAUGUAUAUUAUGGGAGUGGGUCUGGACUGAACGUCUAGCCAGUCAUCAUGCAGGAUAUGAAAAAUCAAUGCAUUGUUGCUCCAAAUGUUAUCAAAGAAGGUCACGCUCUAUCGAUUCCCCAGACCACGUUAAAGCCCUAAAUCGAAAUACUGACAAACCCUUACUCAUUUUCAAUGAUUUUUAUCAGGCUAAAGAGCUAUUUUAUACAUUUUCUGCUAUAAUACAAUCCUGCAGCCUUGCAAGAGCCUCUGGUUUCAGACCACCAAAAUGAUUUGAUUUGAAUAAAUUUAAUAU